This 494-nucleotide ribosomal RNA is filed under the name uncultured bacterium. RNAcentral's name for it is "partial 16S ribosomal RNA". It matches the Rfam family "Bacterial small subunit ribosomal RNA", at positions 28 to 507 of the family's 1533-position model. The record is from RNAcentral.
GACGAACGCUGGCGGCGUGCUUAACACAUGCAAGUCGAACGGUGAAGCGCCUUCCUUUUUGGUGGGUGUGGAUGAGUGGCGAACGGGUGAGUAACACGUGAGUAACCUGCCCCCUUCUUCUGGAUAACCGCAUGAAAGUGUGGCUAAUACGGGAUAUUCUGGGUCUGUCGCAUGAUGGGUCUGGGAAAGAUAUUGUUUCGGUGGGGGAUGGGCUCGCGGCCUAUCAGCUUGUUGGUGGGGUGAUGGCCUACCAAGGCGGUGGCGGGUAGCCGGCCUGAGAGGGUGGACGGUCACACUGGGACUGAGACACGGCCCAGACUCCUACGGGAGGCAGCAGUGGGGAAUAUUGCACAAUGGGCGCAAGCCUGAUGCAGCGACGCCGCGUGAGGGAUGGAGGCCUUCGGGUUGUGAACCUCUUUCGCCAGUGAAGCAGGCCUGCCUCGUUUGUGGGUGGGUUGACAGUAGCUGGAGAAGAAGCGCCGGCUAACUACGUG